CUGAAAGUUGUGACUGUUGAUGUGUAUACUAGCAGAAGCAUUUUCUAGGGCAACAACCCUUAACCCUCAUUCACGCGUGGCGUCGAUUAAAAGCGGUUCUUGCAAGAGAAUUAUUAUUACACGGAUAAAUUUAUCCGGCGCGAGAAGAAUUUCAUUAUCAAUGAUUUACUAUUAUCGUUAAUAUAUUCGCGUAUUACUCUGUAGUAAAACACGUGCAAAUUGCUAAGACAUUUGCAUGCUAAUUACUUAAUGUGUUCAAAGUGGAUAAAAGUUUUUUUGAAAAGCGUCGCCGGAAUAAGAUCGACGAGAAGUAUCGUAAAUAGAAGACGGAGUGAUCAGAGAACUUGGGACUAACGGACAAUUAAAGAUCCGGAAAAAAUUGAAACAAAACACGGCUCGUUAAAAAUUGAAUCGCAACGCUGGAUGCAAAAUUAAUUCGCAUUUAAUGAAGCGUUGAUGAAUUAAACAUAAAGCCGCAGGUACCCAUGCCUUUUAAAGAAGCUUAUACGUAUCCUUCCACAAAACGUCACAAUGACGCACGGUUCUUAAUCGAUUUCAUUUCAGCGAAAACAGAAAUUUCCUUGUAAAUAGAAACGGCGAAGUGGAGAGAAAAAAAGCGAGAAGAAAAGAAAACGUACUAAACUUCGCGUCGGCCUUAGGAACGAGCCAGUGCCGUUCGUCACGACUUAUUAGUGUUUACCAGGAAAAAUAUGCUAGUAACGAUGAUGAUAGAAAUCCUUCUUACGCCGUAUUAAACGCGCAGAGAAAAAGAGAAGACAGAAAAAAUGAUAAUAAUAUUUGAAAUACCUAGAAGACAAGAUUCUGUCGUCGGUUUGUACUAAGGCACUGUGGAACUCGGCUGUGAGUUACGUAUAAAGAAGAAGGAAAACAAAAAGCGACGCAAAAAGUUACGCGAUCAUUUUUGUUGUCGGAUACGAAAAUUUUCUAAGCGAAACUGGCGUCGCGUUUAAUAUUUAUGCGCGAACGAUACCGCGGCACGAGUAAAAACGAUACAGUCUAAUUAUCUGUCGGUGUUUUUCAACAAUGGGACCGUGCGGCAACGCAAAUAUGUAACGAUAUCAACAGUUCCGGAGUGUUUUACGCGGGUCACUAUCCGGGCAUGUUACAGAAACACGCGCGGCCGUGCGUUGCACGCGGGAGGGAAAAGAAGCGGCAUCGGCCUCUGAGAGUGAACACAUUUUUCAUGGCACGGAAAAAGAUUGAACGGGGCCGGGAGUCAAGACGUUCGCACGGUUAUCUUCGAUAUUGACUCUCCUAUCCCCACUCGUGUGCAAACGUCGAGAGAUGUUGCAUCCGUAGUGGUUCGCCAUUGCUACUCGUGUAACACUUCCACCGCUGCUCAAGAAGAUCCCGAUAAACACGCAAUUUGUUAUUCGCAGAAAAUAAGUUAAAGUCCUCUUUACUUCAUCAUAUUUUCCAAUUCUUGUCCCCGAAUAUUUUCCAUUUCCUUAUUCAUGCUCGUUGUUAUACGAAUUCUAAAAAUUAGAGUAGAUUAACAUAUUUUGCUAUUUUCUAGGAACAGUUUUGCAGUCCAGAUUAGAACGUUCGCUAAUCGCGAAUCACGAUGCAUUUGCAUAUUUUCAAGUUCCUCAAUACGAUGCAACCGUUGCCGAAUCUUCGCGGAUGUCGUUACACCGUGGUUUUCUACACUGAACAGAGGUCGUUCGCACCGUGACGGCCAUAAUAAGCCGGCGUGCUUCGGAACCGCAUGGCUGCUCGAGAAGAGGAGGCAGAGGAGGAGGAAGAGGAGGAGGCUCGUCCCCUUAUGGUCCCCAGGGGAAGAGCGUGGCUAUUCGAAUCAACUCGAUCUUCGAGGAAGAGAAUCCACGAAGGAAGUGGCUGGCUGCGCGGAACCUAUGGGUACCGAACAAGCGCGGGAGAGUUUAUUUUCUCAGAAGUGUAGCGCGCCGAGCUUGGUACAGUCCCUGCCGUUACUGGCUGAAUAAUUUCAUCCUCCCCGCGUAUAUACGCUCCGAGAUAAGCCUACGCUUGAGCCUGAACGCGAUCAAACGUAUCACCGACACCCGUGCCCACCCGUGCCCGCGCAUCUUUUCUCAGCGAUACGAUCUUCGCGUUUUACUCUGAAUGCUCGCCUCGAUUAAAAACCGCUUUAAAACGUUCGAGGAUCGCAGGAAAACCUAACAUCCUUUUCCAUUUCUCAAGGCUCGAUUGUUCGCGGUUCUCGACAUCCUUAGAUGGGUUAAGGACCUUUUACCUUGGAACGGUCGAUCAUAUUGCACAGCGCAAUGCUACUACCAAGCGCACGGAAUGCGAUUCUCAUUUUAUACUGCGCGUUACUUUUAUUACCGCCGCGAAAUAUUUCUUUAUGUUUCUUACUCAAGCAAGUCUCUUAAAGCGGAGGAAAAAUGAGAGAUAAGGAAAUACGGAGAAAUUUUCGAGAAAAGAACUGCAAUCAGACGAGAUUGAAGGAAGAUCAUUAAUUUCAUCCGUCAACAUCCCCGCGACCCCCUGAAUUAAAUGGGGGUUACAUAUUCGGUCGCCGGAUCGUUAUUUCUGAAACUUUCAAAAAGACAAUUUUUCAAGCCGUGGCACAUAGUGCUUGGAAACGUUAUUUACAAGUAAGCUCAAAUACCGAGUUCGUGCAUUAGGUAAUGGUUCGACCUCAUCGGAAGUACUCGCUCUGGAUCUUUUAAGCGUGUGUGUAUUUUUGUUAAGGGUUUUCACGUUAGAGGAAAAACUUAAAAAAUAAUUAAUUCUGUGGUUUAGUCUACAGGAAAUCAGAGAUAACAGAUCGGCUGGUCCAAUGUAAUUUAUAUCGCAGCCAGACGUAACACGAGCAUCACACCAAACGCUGUUACCAAAUGCUUUCGGCUAUGUGUCACAGGGACGAACAUUUCAGACGAAUCAUCAGACUCUUUCUCUUUCUCUCUCUCUCUCUUUCUCUCUCGUCUCACAUUCCUUCUAAUUGAUCGCUGCAUUUCUACCAAUGAAAGAUCGGUUCCCUGUGCUACACAACCACAACAAUCCCAUCGCGUUCAUCAUCCGAGUAUGCAUAAUCGGAGCCAAGCAAAUUGUUUUUCGGUCUAAAUCGCGUAUCUUUCCCAUGCGGGA
This is a long non-coding RNA of Ceratina calcarata, 3093 nucleotides long. RefSeq lists it as uncharacterized. The record is from RefSeq and is a predicted model, not a curated record. The transcript is spliced from 3 exons. Lineage: Eukaryota; Metazoa; Arthropoda; Insecta; Hymenoptera; Apidae.